AAUAGUUUUAUUCCACAUCAAUAUUUUCAUCCUGAACUUCAACAUUUUCAUCCUGGACAAAAUCAAAUCCAAAUUGAAAUUCUGAAAUUCAGGAUAAAAUUACUGAUGUUGCAUAAAACUAUU
Non-coding RNA from Gossypium raimondii (Peruvian cotton), 123 nucleotides. The record is from Rfam. NCBI's taxonomy places the organism in Eukaryota, Viridiplantae, Streptophyta, Magnoliopsida, Malvales, Malvaceae.